CUGCUAUCUCUAACAUUUAAAUGUAGACAAGAGCGUUAACGAACACAAAGAAUUAUCAACGGAAUAUUGAAUGUUUUGGUAGUUUCAAAUGUAGUGACGAGCAAAACAUUCACCAGCAAACAUACCUAUUUGGACUUGCAAGGGAAUCGCAUCGCAGAUGAUGAACUCAACAGGCUGUUUCAAUGCACGUCCAUGACAAAUUAAUAAUUUGGAAUAUAUGUACAUACAUGUAAUAAUUACAGAAAAUAAUAUUCUCAUGACUAGAAAUUUUUGUAAUUGAUGUGAAUUGCCUAGUUAAUUAUACGUGUGCGCAAUGAUGUCAUAGGUCUAGACUUUCAUUGAUUAUAUUUGAAUUUUAUUUAUUGAA
Molecule: long non-coding RNA, 367 nt
Organism: Drosophila sechellia
Lineage: Eukaryota; Metazoa; Arthropoda; Insecta; Diptera; Drosophilidae
Exons: 2
Source: RefSeq, a predicted model, not a curated record